CUUGGUCAUUUAGAGGAAGUAAAAGUCGUAACAAGGUCUCCGUUGGUGAACCAGCGGAGGGAUCAUUACAGAGUUACCUAAACUCCCAAACCCUUUGUGAACCUUACCACCGUUUCCUCGGCGCGAGCUGCGGCUACCCGGGAGCUACCCUGCAGCUACCCUGCAGUAGGGGGGCCUACCCUGUAGCCGGCCAACGGCCCGCCGAAGGACCGCUAAACUCUUGUUUGAACCACUGUAUCUCUGAACACCUAACUGAAAUAAGUUAAAACUUUCAACAACGGAUCUCUUGGUUCUGGCAUCGAUGAAGAACGCAGCGAAAUGCGAUAAGUAAUGUGAAUUGCAGAAUUCAGUGAAUCAUCGAAUCUUUGAACGCACAUUGCGCCCGCCAGUAUUCUGGCGGGCAUGCCUAUUCGAGCGUCAUUUCGACCCCUUAAGCCCCUGUUGCUUAGCGUUGGGACUCUGCGCCUCAGGGCGCAGUUCCCGAAAGUUAGUGGCGGAGUUAGGGUACACUCUCAGCGUAGUAAUCUCUUCUCGCUCGUGUGGUGGCCCUGGCUGCUGGCCGUUAAACACCCCCCCGCCCCGCGCGGACAAGUGGUUGACCUCGGAUUAGGUAGGAAUACCCGCUGAACUUAAGCAUAUCAAUAAGCGGAGGA
This 653-nucleotide ribosomal RNA is filed under the name uncultured fungus. RNAcentral's name for it is "eukaryotic LSU rRNA". The stretch from base 267 to 420 matches the Rfam family "5.8S ribosomal RNA". The record is from RNAcentral. Lineage: Eukaryota; Fungi.